UGCCAGCCGCCGCGGUAAUACGGAGGGGGCUAGCGUUGUUCGGAAUUACUGGGCGUAAAGCGCGCGUAGGCGGCUUGAUCAGUCGGAUGUGAAAGCCCCGGGCUUAACCUGGGAACUGCAUUCGAUACUGUCUAGCUAGAGUAUGGUAGAGGGAAGUGGAAUUCCGGGUGUAGCGGUGAAAUGCGUAGAUAUCCGGAGGAACACCAGUGGCGAAGGCGGCUUUCUGGACCGAUACUGACGCUGAGACGCGAAAGCGUGGGGAGCAAACAGGAUUAGAUA
RNAcentral lists this ribosomal RNA (279 nucleotides) under uncultured bacterium. RNAcentral describes it as "partial 16S ribosomal RNA". It matches the Rfam family "Bacterial small subunit ribosomal RNA", at positions 506 to 784 of the family's 1533-position model. The record is from RNAcentral.